CCUACGGGAGACAGCAGUGGGGAAUAUUGCACAAUGGGGGAAACCCUGAUGCAGCGACGCCGCGUGAGUGAAGAAGUAUUUCGGUAUGUAAAGCUCUAUCAGCAGGGGAGAAAAUGACGGUACCUGAUUAAGAAGCCCCGGCUAAACACGUGCCAGCAGCCGCGGUAAUACGUAGGGGGCAAACGUUAUCCGGAAUUACUGGGUGUAAAGGGAGCGUAGCCGGGAGCGCAAGUCUGAAGUGAAAUGCCGGGGCUUAACCCCGGAACUGACUUGGAAACUGUGAUGCUAGAGUGCAGGAGAGGUAAGUGGAAUUCCUGGUGUAGCGGUGAAAUGCGUAGAUAUUAGGAAGAACACCAGUGGCGAAGGCGGCUUACUGGACUGUAACUGACGUUGAGGCUCGAAAGCGUGGGGAGCGAACAGGAUUAGAUACCCGUGUAGUC
Molecule: ribosomal RNA, 440 nt
Filed under: uncultured bacterium
Lineage: Bacteria
Description: partial 16S ribosomal RNA
Rfam family: Bacterial small subunit ribosomal RNA
Source: RNAcentral